GACGGGGCCCGCACAAGCAGCGGAGCGUGUGGUUUAAUUCGAUGCUACACGAAGAACCUUACCUGGAUUUGACAUGCACGUAGUAGUGAACCGAAAGGGGAACGAGCCUUCGGGCAGCGUGCACAGGUGCUGCAUGGCUGUCGUCAGCUCGUGCCGUGAGGUGUUGGGUUAAGUCCCGCAACGAGCGCAACCCUCGUCGCUAGUUACAUGUGUCUAGCGAGACUGCCAGGUUAACCCUGGAGGAAGGUGGGAUGACGUCAAGUCAGCAUGGCCUUUAUGUCCAGGGCUACACACACGCUACAAUGGUCGGUACAAUGGGAUGCCAAGCCGCGAGGCGGAGCAAAUCCUCAAAGCCGGCCUCAGUUCGGAUUGGAGGCUGCAACUCGCCUCCAUGAAGUCGGAGUUGCUAGUAACCGCAGGUCAGCUAUACUGCGGUGAAUACGUUCCCGGGCCUU
RNAcentral lists this ribosomal RNA (455 nucleotides) under uncultured Caldilineaceae bacterium. RNAcentral describes it as "bacterial SSU rRNA". It matches the Rfam family "Bacterial small subunit ribosomal RNA", at positions 916 to 1381 of the family's 1533-position model. The record is from RNAcentral. Lineage: Bacteria; Bacillati; Chloroflexota; Caldilineae; Caldilineales; Caldilineaceae.